GCGACUUCCCUGGCCCUCCCCCUGCGGACCAGUGAACCUCGCCCGAGGGCUCAAUAAAGAAGAUUUUUGCCCUCUUUUUCUCACCUCUCAGCCUUAUUGAUCCAUGGUGCCCUUCCAUUGCCUUUCAUUGGUGCCGAAACCCGGGAGGGGACACCUCCUAAGCCCCCCCAGAGGCUCAGGGGGACUCCCCUCCUGGUCGGAUCAGUCCUCUCCCUCAGUCAGGUCAGGCUUCUCCUCCACGGCCAUCUGUCCAUUUCGUCCGGUUACUUGCUGCCAGGUCGCAGUUGCUGCAGCUACUCCAGUCCAAUUCGGCCGACGCUAGAGACAAAUGAAGACACUCGACCAUCUCUAAAUGCUACCAAACACAUAGAGUCUACUCUGAAUGCAGAUACUGCUCUCAUAAAAAUUCUGCAAAGGAGGAAGGGGUUGGUGCAGAACUGUUCCGAUGCUGAUCAACUGAGAUGCAAAACCCAUGUUCACAUCAUGAGUGAGUCUUCUAACUCGGACAAUGCAAUCAACAAAUUCUAAGACCAAAUUCCGGUGGCACUGGCUCCAAAGGCCCCAGGGAAAAUAAACUAAUCAAGACUACUUUAAUUUUUUAAAUAUGAAACCUGCGGAAAAUCAUGAAAAAUAGUAACACAAUUCCACCAUUUUCUACGAAAAAAUACUGAAAGGGUUAUUAACUUGAAUGUCCAAUAGACAGCUGAAUUAGAUAUGAAGUUGCAUAAAGAGAGUAGCCAAAUCAAAAUAUAUAAGUUUUAAAAGGCAAUAUCCAGGACUUCAAACAUGGAAAGAGUUACACGAGAGAAAAGAGGAUUUUGAGAGAUUGCUGCUUCAUUUGCAUGCUCAGCAAAACCUCACGGAGCACUGACGUUUUGAGUCAUCCCUCUAAUCAUCUAGCAUCCAACGCUCCUGAGUGUGGAAGGAGGUGAACAGGGAAAAGCAGAGAGGACAAAAGUCACAUCCCCUCCCCACAGACCCAUACUGGGGAAGGGUGGAAGAUUUAGCUGCGAGUCAAGUUCAGAAUUUUGAUUAACAUCUUGGCAUGCACAUUCGAAUUUCAGAAUCAAGACUGUUGGCCAUAAAAAAUGACUAUAGCCUUGUGUAUUACCUGAACUGAGCAGUAAAAAAAAAGUCAUGGUCCUUCUGGGGCUUUUAUUCUGAGACAGGAACCCUGAACAGGCAGGAGAAAGGGAAUGUUGACAGAGAAACAAAGACAGUUGGCGACACACGCUGACCGCCAUGCGGACGUCCAUCAAACCCAGCACUGGCCCUGGGUACGUGCGCCUUUGCUAUUACCCCAAUACAUUUUCUUCUGCAGAGCAAGCAACAGAACACAUGCAGACCUUAAUAAAUACCACUGGGUAAUGUGACAAUGGCCAAACUCUCCUCACGGGGGAGAGAGUGUCCCCCAGUUUUGCUCCCUUUUAAUUUCCAGGGUUCAUAAGUAGCUCUAAAGCUUUGCUCUACAAGGUUGAUACAUACGAUAUUAAUGUUUCCCCUAAGCAGUAUAACAUAAAUAUAUUUGCUAUCUUG
RNAcentral lists this long non-coding RNA (1536 nucleotides) under Homo sapiens (human). RNAcentral describes it as "long intergenic non-protein coding RNA 1287". Lineage: Eukaryota; Metazoa; Chordata; Mammalia; Primates; Hominidae. The record is from RNAcentral.